GAUGAACGCUGGCGGCGUGCCUAACACAUGCAAGUCGAACGAAGCGUCUUAAAGGAAGUUUUCGGAUGGAAUUUGGGAUGACUGAGUGGCGGACGGGUGAGUAACGCGUGGAUAACCUGCCUCAUACAGGGGGAUAACAGCUAGAAAUGGCUGCUAAUACCGCAUAAGCGCACAGUGCCGCAUGGUACGGUGUGAAAAACUCCGGUGGUAUGAGAUGGACCCGCGUCUGAUUAGGUAGUUGGUGGGGUAACGGCCUACCAAGCCGACGAUCAGUAGCCGACCUGAGAGGGUGACCGGCCACAUUGGGACUGAGACACGGCCCAA
Molecule: ribosomal RNA, 324 nt
Filed under: uncultured bacterium
Lineage: Bacteria
Description: bacterial SSU rRNA
Rfam family: Bacterial small subunit ribosomal RNA
Source: RNAcentral